GAGUUUGAUCCUGGCUCAGAACGAACGCUGGCGGCGUGCCUAACACAUGCAAGUCCAACGUGAAAGGGGAGCAAUCCCCCGGUAGGGUGGCAAACGGGUGAGUAAUACAUGGGUGAUCUACCUUAGGGAUGGGGAUAUCCUUCCGAAAGGAGGGGCAAUACCGAAUAUUGUCCGGAGCCGUGAAGGGUUCCGGGGAAAGGGAGGCCUCUGAUACAAGCUUUCGCCUUAAGAUGAGCCCAUGGCCCAUCAGCUAGUUGGUAGGGUAAAGGCCUACCAAGGCUACGACGGGUCGCUGGUCUGAGAGGACGACCAGCCACACUGGCACUGAGAUACGGGCCAGACUCCUACGGGAGGCAGCAGUGAGGAAUAUUGCGCAAUGGGGGAAACCCUGACGCAGCAACGCCGCGUGUGGGAAGAAGGCCUUCGGGUCGUAAACCACUUUUGCACGGGACGAAAAAGGGAUAUCGAACAAAUAUCCCCGAUGACGGUACCGUGAGAAUAAGCCACGGCUAACUCUGUGCCAGCAGCCGCGGUAAGACAGAGGUGGCAAGCGUUGUUCGGAAUUACUGGGCGUAAAGAGUCUGUAGGUGGUUUGUCAAGUCUUUGGUGAAAGGCCGUAGCUUAACUAUGGGAAUGCCAAAGAGACUGGCAGGCUGGAGGCUGGGAGAGGGAAGC
This 675-nucleotide ribosomal RNA is filed under the name uncultured bacterium. RNAcentral's name for it is "bacterial SSU rRNA". It matches the Rfam family "Bacterial small subunit ribosomal RNA", at positions 9 to 662 of the family's 1533-position model. The record is from RNAcentral.